Molecule: ribosomal RNA, 506 nt
Filed under: uncultured bacterium
Lineage: Bacteria
Description: partial 16S ribosomal RNA
Rfam family: Bacterial small subunit ribosomal RNA
Source: RNAcentral
AGUGAACGCUGGCGGUAGGCCUAACACAUGCAAGUCGAACGGCAGCACAGGAGAGCUUGCUCUCUGGGUGGCGAGUGGCGGACGGGUGAGGAAUACAUCGGAAUCUACUCCGUCGUGGGGGAUAACGUAGGGAAACUUACGCUAAUACCGCAUACGACCUACGGGUGAAAGCAGGGGACCUUCGGGCCUUGCGCGAUUGAAUGAGCCGAUGUCGGAUUAGCUAGUUGGCGGGGUAAAGGCCCACCAAGGCGACGAUCCGUAGCUGGUCUGAGGGGAUGUUCAGCCACACUGGAACUGAGACACGGUCCAGACGCCUACGGGGGGAAGCAGUGGGGAAUAUUGGACAAUGGGCGCAAGCCUGAUCCAGCCAUACCGCGUGGGUGAAGAAGGCCUUCGGGUUGUAAAGCCCUUUUGUUGGGAAAGAAAUCCAGCUGGCUAAUACCCGGUUGGGAUGACGGUACCCAAAGAAUAAGCACCGGCUAACUUCGUGCCAGCCGCCGCAAUAA